AAGUGCUCCUCGGGGAGAAUUUCAUCCUCCUCCUGCUGUAACAACGUCAUUAUGGAGCUGUCCUCCUCAUCCUCUUCCACCGCACGUUUCUGUUGAAAAAUAUUUCAUUAGACUCUUAUUUGUUUCAGGUUAUAAAAUCAUACAAGAGAGAGAUCUUGCGCUCAACAGAUUCACUACUCAAAACUGUGACUAAUAACUCGCAAAUUCUCUGACAUGAGAGAGUGAUCUUGCGCUCAACAGAUUCACUACUCAAAAAAUCAUUUUCUCACCUCACAACUCAUAAGCAAUUGUGCUCUCGUGAAGGAACCUUACCUGCAUCUAGAAAAUCAUAGCCGAGGAGCUAGCUGAGAGAAGCAUAUCCGAUUAUUUCAUUUCGUCAAAUCAACACAUAAAAAAUGGCGAGAAUACAAAGUUAUCGUUGUGAACUAACUGUACUAUUGGAGACGCAUCACCAAUUAUUGGACCAGUUAGCAGAAAAAGGAUGGACAAAUCUACAAUAUUUAACAUUUGUGAGAGAUUAUGAAAAAUUAGGAGUUUGGCAUAGUGAUAACUAUAAUCAUAUUUCAGUUUGUGAAUUAUACGGUACAUCAUAUGAUAAAUUCUGGGAGAAUGGCAAUAUCCCAGGCUCAUACAGAUGUGAUUGUGCUCAUCUUAAAGAGUCUAUCGAUAAAAUUAAGAAGGUUAUAACAGAA
Nilaparvata lugens (brown planthopper) is the source of this 692-nucleotide long non-coding RNA. RefSeq lists it as uncharacterized. The record is from RefSeq and is a predicted model, not a curated record. The transcript has 3 exons. NCBI's taxonomy places the organism in Eukaryota, Metazoa, Arthropoda, Insecta, Hemiptera, Delphacidae.